UGCGCAGGCGGUUCUCCAAGUCCGUUGUGAAAGCCCCGGGCUCAACCUGGGAAUGGCAGUGGAAACUAGGGGACUCGAAUCUGGCAGAGGGGGGUGGAAUUCCACGUGUAGCAGUGAAAUGCGUAGAGAUGUGGAGGAACACCGAUGGCGAAGGCAGCCCCCUGGGCUGAGAUUGACGCUCAGGCACGAAAGCGUGGGAGCAAACA
This 206-nucleotide ribosomal RNA is filed under the name uncultured bacterium. Its description in RNAcentral is "partial 16S ribosomal RNA". It matches the Rfam family "Bacterial small subunit ribosomal RNA", at positions 568 to 774 of the family's 1533-position model. The record is from RNAcentral.